Molecule: long non-coding RNA, 2383 nt
Organism: Macaca mulatta (Rhesus monkey)
Lineage: Eukaryota; Metazoa; Chordata; Mammalia; Primates; Cercopithecidae
Source: Ensembl
GACUGAUCAGUCAACCCUUGCAAAAAUCGAGCAAGGUCUGAAAAUAAAAAGAAAGAAGUCCUGUGUUCCCAUGAUGAUGUCAUAAUUUCAUUUUGUGUCAAGAAAACCUGUGGCUGGUCUGGGUAUUGUCAUGAUUCCUCAUCUCUCCUGGCAGCACAUAAUGAGAGUUGCAAAGACCUAAAUUGGAUUAGAACAGCUUGCCUGUCUUCUUCAGGGAUCCUCAGGGACCAGUGACCAUUCAGUCUUUUAACAGUAAGGUGAAGGGUAGCCCAUGUGCUCAGCCUUGGGGGGUUACAUCUGGUUUGGAAACUUCCUGUUGUGUGUAACACACGGACUGUGCAUCCGUAGCUGUUUCAUGAGUAAUACGCAGAGUGUCUGUGUUGGGUAUUUUAAAGUACGUGAGAGGGUUGUAUUUCAGCAGCUGAUGGGAUGCCAAAUGUUUGACUUUUUAUUAUUCCAGCCCUUCAGAUUUCCCCAGAAUUGUCACCUUCUAGAGCAUGUGUCUUCCCAGUGUGUUCCAGGAAUUCUCUAUUUAUGCCACCGCGAUGUUGCUCAGAAAACAACAGAGCUUUCAGUCAGUUCAGGGCUUCAGCCAGCCUGGCCUUCCAGCUGCCACCCAGCAGCUCAGCUCAGCACCUCAGAACCUUCUGGCCCAGACCUUCACUCCCAACUCCCGCCCAGGGGCAAAUGCAGAAGCCUCUGCUGGCGCAGCCAACAUGGGAGUGGGGGAAAGGGGAAGAGGAAAAGCAACAGCUCAGGGUGUGGUAAGAGUGCUCAAGGUGCUUCUCAGCUCAGGGCAUUGGUAAGAGUGGGUGGAAUUUACAUGUUAAGAACUUUCAUUAACCAAAUACCCAAAUGGUGACAGUAAAGCAAAUUCGGACUAGUUAUGUUUCUGGAAGGUUUCAGAUAUUUGGGCCCCCAAGAUGGCCGAGAACUCAUUUCUCAGCACCUCUUCUCAUAGCCUUCAAGAAAAACAGUGAACCUCUAAGAACCUCUGAAUUCUAUCUUUGUCUUUAAUAUGUAUGUGUUGGAUGGGGUGGGGGUAUUAAUGGAAUGUUUCAGAUCACUAAUCUCACAGACAAUGCAAUGACAAGAUAAAGUUUAUUAGAUAGAGAAUGUUAAUACAGCUGAAACCUUUGAAGAAUUCAGACCAGUCCUCGGACCAUUCAUCCUGAGCACCUGGAAUGUUAUAUGAUCCUGAGUCGGUUAUUUCCCCUCUAUGACUUCAGCUGUAAGAUGACACUGUUCUUUUGUACCAGUACAUGAAGACUAGCUAAUUAAAAUACUGUACUAGUUCAUUCAAAAAGUAUUUACUGAGUUGCUACUACGUACAAGGCAUCAUGCAAACAGAUUGUGCAGUAUUACAUAAAAUUUUAAAAAUAGAUUUCCAUAAAUAAACACCAUGAUAGGAUUAUGUAACAUCUUUCAGGGAAUUUUAACCAUUUGGAUAUACCACACAGUGGUUCUGGUUCUACCAGUCUAAAUGAAUUGACUUGUUUUUCUUUCCACCAUCACUCCUCCCUUUCAAUUCAAUUCAUUCAUUCUGGUGUGCAGCCCGUUUCUAUUUAUUUUCUAUUGGUAUGACCAGAGCUGCCAUGUAAGCUUGUGCCCUGCACAAGGAUAGAUACCCCACUGGGGAACAAACGGGACCAAAAUCCACUCUGUGUUCUGCUGGCCAAGCCAGGUGACCUGGCCUGGGCUGCGUCCUCCCAGAAGAAGGGUUCAUUUUUCCAGUUUGCACAUGUGCUAUUUGUGGGUUAGCUGAGGCCCUGCUCAUGUCUUUGGUUGGUUCACAAACCAGAAACAGAACAAAUGGCCAGAAAUUAGUGUUGUAAUCAAACUAGAUUUACAACCAAGGCACGCUGAGUGGCAUUAUGGGUUUUAUCCUAUUGCAUGGCAAGGCAUUCAUGCAUGGGCUGUGCUCAGUGUCCUUUUUACUCAGCCAUGCCAACCAUGGGGAAGCAGGAGGGGAGCUUGUUGGAGAAGGCGGCCUCAGUGAGAGCCUUGGUGCAUUCCCCUGAAGCCACAGUUUGGGGCUUUUCCCUCAGCAGGGGUCCCCACAGUCUGAGUGUUUCCGGAAAUCUUAUAUCCAGAGGACCCCAAAUCUUAUGUCCAGACCCCAGGGUCUGAACUCAUAUUUAACUACUGAAAGGCAUCAGGAUAUCCCCUCUGGUUGAACUUGACCUUCUUACUGAGAACCAGCCGGGCAGGCAUCAGAUGCCUCAGGCUCCAGAGGAGAAGCUGGUGGGCAAAUAGAUCAGGAGCAACUGCUUUCACCAUCAGGGAUGAAAGUUGAAGGCCAAGAACACUUCCUUGUCCUGUGGUGCAGGGGUUGGGAUGGAGGAGCGAGUCUUAUAAAUGGAAGAGAACUAAGUGUUGUGAU